AUGGUGUCAUGCCCUCUCCUCCUCCAACCUGAUGUCCCGGUUUACUCUGCAAAGUUUGGUGGCAAAUAUCCAUGUCGUGUCCUUGAUCUAGCCAGCCAACACUCGCGCCUUUGCUCUCAGAUUCCCCUAAUUAAUCUUUCUCGUCUAAGUAAUGACCCCCAGAGUCCGCUGGGUAAUUUCUGCUUUGUGGGUGCUUCUUAUGGCCAUCUCAUCUUCUCCAGCAACAGGUCAUGUCUCAUUGUUGAUGCGUUUACAGGUGUUAGUGUUUCACCGCCACAGCUGCCGGGCGACGAAUGCACCGAGGUCUACUACGGUGCCCUCACGGGUCCCCUAUGGUCACCCAACUCACAUCUCCUUGUCACCAACCGAUCCCACAGUUUCUUCUGGCAUACUGCUAGUCAUUCUUGGUUGAGGCCUUGUCCUUGCGAUGGAACGGUCAAGCAGAUCGUGACCUUCAGAGGCCAGAUCUUUGGGAUGGACUCUGGUGGCAUGCUCUUUGCCGUGCAUUUGGCACCUCAGAUCUGCAUACAAAAAAUGAUAGUAAGUUGGGAGGAAAUCAUGUCCACCAUACGGCAUCUUGCCAAUGUAUGCCUGGUGGCGUGUGGGGAUAUGCUUCUCAUGGUCGGUUGUCGGGGAUCAUUUCCGGCGAGAGGGGAUACCUUUGAAGCCUUCCGCCUCGACCAGUCAACUGGGCAUCCAAAGUGGGUGCAGGUGGAGGAGUUGGGGAAUUGGGCAAUCUUCAUCAGCACGGACAAAAGAAGCCAGCCAUUAUCUUUCAUGAACCCGGAGAGGUGCGGAGGAAAGAGCAACCGAGUAUACUGCUAUUCCCAUGAUUCUGAACAUUGGGCUGCAUUUGAGCUGGGCAAGCCCGCCUCCGAUCCAGACAACUUUGUUUCAAUGAGCCAAGGCAGCAUGGUGCAGCCUAUGUGGGUUGCCCCCAGCAUGUUCUCUCCGUCUCUCUGA
Molecule: ribosomal RNA, 963 nt
Filed under: Triticum aestivum (bread wheat)
Lineage: Eukaryota; Viridiplantae; Streptophyta; Magnoliopsida; Poales; Poaceae
Description: partial small subunit ribosomal RNA
Source: RNAcentral